UACGUAGGGUGCAAGCGUUGUCCGGAAUUAUUGGGCGUAAAGAGCUCGUAGGCGGUUCGUCACGUCGGCUGUGAAAUCCCGAGGCUCAACCUCGGGUCUGCAGUCGAUACGGGCGGACUAGAGUACUGCAGGGGAGACUGGAAUUCCUGGUGUAGCGGUGGAAUGCGCAGAUAUCAGGAGGAACACCGGUGGCGAAGGCGGGGUCUCUGGGCAGUAACUGACGCUGAGGAGCGAAAGCGUGGGGAGCGAACAGG
RNAcentral lists this ribosomal RNA (254 nucleotides) under uncultured bacterium. RNAcentral describes it as "partial 16S ribosomal RNA". It matches the Rfam family "Bacterial small subunit ribosomal RNA", at positions 524 to 776 of the family's 1533-position model. The record is from RNAcentral.